ACUCAAAUGAAUUGACGGGGGCCCGCACAAGCGGUGGAGCAUGUGGUUCAAUUCGAUGCAACGCGAAGAACCUUACCUGGUCUUGACAUCCCGGGAAUCUCCCUGAAAGGGGAGAGUGCCUUCGGGAACCCGGUGACAGGUGCUGCAUGGCUGUCGUCAGCUCGUGUCGUGAGAUGUUGGGUUAAGUCCCGCAACGAGCGCAACCCUUGUCUUUAGUUGCCAGCGGUCAGGCCGGGCACUCUAGAGAGACUGCCGGUGUCAAACCGGAGGAAGGUGGGGAUGACGUCAAGUCCUCAUGGCCUUUAUGACCAGGGCUACACACGUGCUACAAUGACCGGUACAAAGGGCAGCGACACCGCGAGGUGAAGCAAAUCCCAAAAAACCGGCCCCAGUACGGAUUGCAGUCUGCAACUCGACUGCAUGAAGUUGGAAUCGCUAGUAAUCGCGGAUCAGCACGCCGCGGUGAAUACGUUCCCGGGCCUUGUACACACCGCCCGU
Molecule: ribosomal RNA, 498 nt
Filed under: uncultured bacterium
Lineage: Bacteria
Description: partial 16S ribosomal RNA
Rfam family: Bacterial small subunit ribosomal RNA
Source: RNAcentral